This 74-nucleotide transfer RNA is filed under the name Thiomonas arsenitoxydans. RNAcentral describes it as "tRNA-Pro (TGG) (tRNA-Pro-TGG-2-1)". Lineage: Bacteria; Pseudomonadati; Pseudomonadota; Betaproteobacteria; Burkholderiales. The record is from RNAcentral.
CGGGGGUUGUAGGGCAUUCUAACUUUUGCUUUGGGAGCAGAGGGUCGGAGGUUCGAAUCCUCUCGCCCCGACCA